Molecule: ribosomal RNA, 375 nt
Filed under: uncultured organism
Description: partial 16S ribosomal RNA
Rfam family: Bacterial small subunit ribosomal RNA
Source: RNAcentral
GUAGGUGGCAAGCGUUGUCCGGAAUUAUUGGGCGUAAAGCGCGCGCAGGCGGUCCUUUAAGUCUGAUGUGAAAGCCCACGGCUCAACCGUGGAGGGUCAUUGGAAACUGGGGGACUUGAGUACAGAAGAGGAAAGCGGAAUUCCAAGUGUAGCGGUGAAAUGCGUAGAGAUUUGGAGGAACACCAGUGGCGAAGGCGGCUUUCUGGUCUGUAACUGACGCUGAGGCGCGAAAGCGUGGGGAGCAAACAGGGGUUAGAUACCCUGGUAGUCCACGCCGUAAACGAUGAGUGCUAAGUGUUAGGGGGUUUCCCGCCCCCUUAGUGCUGCAGCUAACGCAUUAAGCACUCCGCCUGGGGGAGUACGGCCGCAAGGCUG